Molecule: ribosomal RNA, 253 nt
Filed under: uncultured bacterium
Lineage: Bacteria
Description: partial 16S ribosomal RNA
Rfam family: Bacterial small subunit ribosomal RNA
Source: RNAcentral
UACGGAGGGGGCUAGCGUUGUUCGGAAUUACUGGGCGUAAGGCGCACGUAGGCGGCUUUGUAAGUUAGAGGUGAAAGCCCGGGGCUCAACUCCGGAAUUGCCUUUAAGACUGCAUCGCUAGAAUUGUGGAGAGGUAAGUGGAAUUCCGAGUGUAGAGGUGAAAUUCGUAGAUAUUCGGAAGAACACCAGUGGCGAAGGCGACUUACUGGACACAUAUUGACGCUGAGGUGCGAAAGCGUGGGGAGCAAACAGG